This 492-nucleotide ribosomal RNA is filed under the name uncultured bacterium. Its description in RNAcentral is "bacterial SSU rRNA". It matches the Rfam family "Bacterial small subunit ribosomal RNA", at positions 28 to 512 of the family's 1533-position model. The record is from RNAcentral.
GACGAACGCUGGCGGCGUGCUUAAUACAUGCAAGUCGAGCGAGACUCUUGAUGAAGCUUGCGAUUCAAGAGUUUAGCGGCGGACGGGUGAGUAACGCGUGGGCAACCUGCCCUCUAGUCUGGGAUAACAGAGCGAAAGUUCUGCUAACACCGGAUAUGCUUACAGUCAGGCAUCUGAAGGUAAGGAAAGGAUACGCUAGAGGAUGGGCCCGCGUCCCAUUAGCUAGUUGGUGAGGUAACGGCUCACCAAGGCGACGAUGGGUAGCCGACCUGAGAGGGUGACCGGCCACACUGGGACUGAGACACGGACCAGACUCCUACGGGAGGCAGCAGUGAGGAAUAUUGGUCAAUGGUCGGAAGACUGAACCAGCCAUGCCGCGUGCAGGAAGACGGUCCUAUGGAUUGUAAACUGCUUUUGUACGGGAAGAAACACUCCUUCGUGAAGGAGCUUGACGGUACCGUAAGAAUAAGGAUCGGCUAACUCCGUGCCAGC